GUCUGUUGGGGGCGGGCAGAGGCGUCGGCGCUGCCCCGGCGAGGGGCCGAGCCGGCGGGGCGCGCAGAAGCCGGCCCGAGCCCGGGCCCGAGCGCGGCUCCGCUCGGCUCCUCUGCGGCUCCCGCCGGGCCCUUCAGCCCCGGCCGGCCCCGGCGCGGCAGGGCACGAUGGCGCCCGGGCUGGGGCCGUGGCUCCUGGCCUUGUCCUUGGCCGCGGGGCCGGCAGGGCUGUGGGCGCAGCUGAGGCUGGUGGAGGACGGCGGAGGGCUGCGAGCGCCCGGGGACACCGUGCGCCUCUCCUGCCGCGGAUCCGGCUUCAACUUCGGGAAUUCCACAGUUUGGUGGUACCGUCAGGCAGCCGGCGGCAGUCUCGAGUGGGUGUCCUACAUCAGCGCUGAUUCCUCAGUGAUUCAAUUGGGGCAGUCAGUGAAGGGUCGAGCUACAGUGUCCCGGAACAGUUCCCGGUCCGUGUCAUCUCUGUCCCUGCGGGACCUGCAGCCCCGGGACUCUGCCCGCUACUUCUGUGCUGUUGCACGGGGACAGGAAAUCCAGCUGAGCUUUAACACAAACCUGCUGGGCCACAAUGUCAGAGCUGUGGGGCAAGGGGCUGCUUGGGGUGGGGGCCUCAGGGUGGUUCCCAGGCAGUGAAGUUCCAUCACUCUACACCGCAGGAGUUCCUGGCCUUUCCUGCACACUGCGGGAAUUGUAACUUAUGGUAAAUUAAAACAGAGUAGGAUUGUGAUCAACAAAAAAACUGGAAACACCUUCCCCUACACCUCCCACUUUCCUCCCUUGCUCAGCUUCAUACCUUCAUUCCCAAUUCCUCUACCUCCUCUGCCCAAGUGGCCCAUGGGUGAUGGGGUUUGAGGUGAAAUCAUAACACUUCAUCUCUACUGCUCCUUCCUCCCUCCCAUGGUCUGCAGUCCUUCACAAAUGGCUCC
Non-coding RNA from Harpia harpyja (harpy eagle), 940 nucleotides. The record is from the annotation of a RefSeq genome assembly. Lineage: Eukaryota; Metazoa; Chordata; Aves; Accipitriformes; Accipitridae.